Molecule: long non-coding RNA, 201 nt
Filed under: Zostera marina
Lineage: Eukaryota; Viridiplantae; Streptophyta; Magnoliopsida; Alismatales; Zosteraceae
Description: long non-coding RNA (ZMAR_LNC002212)
Source: RNAcentral
CAAAUGACCAGAUCACCCCAUAAGAAUCCCUAUAAAUAGAGGGCACCCCCCACUCAUUGAAGGCAAGUCAUUUGGAGAAGAAGGAUUCCUAGCGAAGCAGAGCUCUGCACACUUGAGUUCCGGUCCGGUUUCCCGCGGAGUUCCCCGCUUGGCGCUUGCUUGCGCGUCUUGGAGUACUGGUCGGGUUUCACCCCCAUCAGU